UACGGGGGGGGCAAGCGUUGUUCGGAAUUACUGGGCGUAAAGGGCUCGUAGGCGGCCAACUAAGUCGGAUGUGAAAUCCCCAGGCUUAACCUGGGAACUGCAUCCGAUACUGGAUGGCUUGAAUCCGGGAGAGGGAUGCAGAAUUCCAGGUGUAGCGGUGAAAUGCGUAGAUAUCUGGAGGAAUACCGGUGGCGAAGGCGGCAUCCUGGACCGGCAUUGACGCUGAUGAGCGGAAGCUAGGGGAGCAAACGGG
RNAcentral lists this ribosomal RNA (253 nucleotides) under uncultured bacterium. RNAcentral describes it as "partial 16S ribosomal RNA". It matches the Rfam family "Bacterial small subunit ribosomal RNA", at positions 524 to 776 of the family's 1533-position model. The record is from RNAcentral.